RNAcentral lists this ribosomal RNA (1247 nucleotides) under 'Catharanthus roseus' phytoplasma. RNAcentral describes it as "bacterial SSU rRNA". It matches the Rfam family "Bacterial small subunit ribosomal RNA", at positions 153 to 1399 of the family's 1533-position model. The record is from RNAcentral. Lineage: Bacteria; Bacillati; Mycoplasmatota; Mollicutes; Acholeplasmatales; Acholeplasmataceae.
GAAACGACUGCUAAGACUGGAUAGGAAAAGUGAAGGCAUCUUUACUUUUUUAAAAGACCUUCUUUGAAGGUAUGCUUAAGGAGGGGCUUGCGACACAUUAGUUAGUUGGCAGGGUAAAGGCCUACCAAGACUAUGAUGUGUAGCUGGACUGAGAGGUUGAACAGCCACAUUGGGACUGAGACACGGCCCAAACUCCUACGGGAGGCAGCAGUAGGGAAUUUUCGGCAAUGGAGGAAACUCUGACCGAGCAACGCCGCGUGAACGAUGAAGUACCUCGGUAUGUAAAGUUCUUUUAUUAAGGAAGAAAAAAGAGUGGAAAAACUCCCUUGACGGUACUUAAUGAAUAAGCCCCGGCUAAUUAUGUGCCAGCAGCCGCGGUAAUACAUAAGGGGCGAGCGUUAUCCGGAGUUAUUGGGCGUAAAGGGUGCGUAGGCGGUUUAAUAAGUCUAUAGUUUAAUUUCAGCGCUUAACGCUGUUGUGCUAUAGAAACUGUUUUACUAGAGUGAGAUAGAGGCAAGCGGAAUUCCAUGUGUAGCGGUAAAAUGCGUAAAUAUAUGGAGGAACAUCAGAGGCGUAGGCGGCUUGCUGGGUCUUUACUGACGCUGAGGCACGAAAGCGUGGGGAGCAAACAGGAUUAGAUACCCUGGUAGUCCACGCCGUAAACGAUGAGUACUAAGUGUCGGGUAAAACCGGUACUGAAGUUAACACAUUAAGUACUCCGCCUGAGGAGUACGUACGCAAGUAUGAAACUUAAAGGAAUUGACGGGACUCCGCACAAGCGGUGGAUCAUGUUGUUUAAUUCGAAGAUACACGAAAAACCUUACCAGGUCUUGACAUUUUCUUGCGAAGUUAUAGAAAUAUAAUGGAGGUUAUCAGGAAAACAGGUGGUGCAUGGUUGUCGUCAGCUCGUGUCGUGAGAUGUUAGGUUAAGUCCUAAAACGAGCGCAACCCUUGUCGUUAAUUGCCAGCAUGUAAUGAUGGGGACUUUAACGAGACUGCCAAUGAAAAAUUGGAGGAAGGUGGGGAUUACGUCAAAUCAUCAUGCCCCUUAUGAUCUGGGCUACAAACGUGAUACAAUGGUUGAUACAAAGAGUAGCUGAAACGCGAGUUCUUAGCCAAUCUCGCAAAAUCAAUCUCAGUUCGGAUUGAAGUCUGCAACUCGACUUCAUGAAGUUGGAAUCGCUAGUAAUCGUGAAUCAGCAUGUCGCGGUGAAUACGUUCUCGGGGUUUGUACACACCGCCCGUCA